Molecule: ribosomal RNA, 556 nt
Filed under: uncultured bacterium
Lineage: Bacteria
Description: bacterial SSU rRNA
Rfam family: Bacterial small subunit ribosomal RNA
Source: RNAcentral
GACGAACGCUGGCGGCGUGCCUAACACAUGCAAGUCGAACGGAGAAUUUUAUUUCGGUAGAAUUCUUAGUGGCGAACGGGUGAGUAACGCGUAGGCAACCUGCCCUUUAGACGGGGACAACAUUCCGAAAGGAGUGCUAAUACCGGAUGUGAUCAUCGUGCCGCAUGGCAGGAUGAAGAAAGAUGGCCUCUACAAGUAAGCUAUCGCUAAAGGAUGGGCCUGCGUCUGAUUAGCUAGUUGGUAGUGUAACGGACUACCAAGGCGAUGAUCAGUAGCCGGUCUGAGAGGAUGAACGGCCACAUUGGGACUGAGACACGGCCCAAACUCCUACGGGAGGCAGCAGUGGGGAAUCUUCCGCAAUGGACGAAAGUCUGACGGAGCAACGCCGCGUGAGUGAUGAAGGAUUUCGGUCUGUAAAGCUCUGUUGUUUAUGACGAACGUGCAGUGUGUGAACAAUGCUUUGCAAUGACGGUAGUAAACGAGGAAGCCACGGCUAACUACGUGCCAGCAGCCGCGGUAAUACGUAGGUGGCGAGCGUUGUCCGGAAUUAUUGGGC